RNAcentral lists this ribosomal RNA (240 nucleotides) under uncultured bacterium. RNAcentral's name for it is "partial 16S ribosomal RNA". It matches the Rfam family "Bacterial small subunit ribosomal RNA", at positions 96 to 334 of the family's 1533-position model. The record is from RNAcentral.
UGGCGAACGGGUGAGUAACGCGUGAGGAACCUGCCUCAAAGAGGGGGACAACAGUUGGAAACGACUGCUAAUACCGCAUAAGCCCACGGGUCGGCAUCGACCUGAGGGAAAAGGAGCAAUCCGCUUUGAGAUGGCCUCGCGUCCGAUUAGCUAGUUGGUGAGGUAACGGCCCACCAGGGCGACGAUCGGUAGCCGGACUGAGAGGUUGAACGGCCACAUUGGGACUGAGACACGGCCCAG